UUAGGUUUAGGGUUGGCUCUCUGACUUCCAUACUCCCCGCCCUCCAUCACAACCGACGCCGCCCUCCACCAUCCACAAGCCGUCGUCGUCUCCGCCUUUACCGGCCUCCACCAGCCAGACCUCAGCGGCAGAAGUCGUCGCCACUGCUGUCGCUACCGCCUCUGUUCUUUCUUCUAUCUCUAUCUCCCUCUCUGCUGCAACCGCACGUCGGCGCCAAUCAAAACAAUUAUUCCUAAUUAGUGGGGCCUCACUGUCGCAAUAGGAUCUCAGCAGGGUUUCGGCAUUAAUCAUGGGGGUGGAAUUGGAAAACGGCCAAGCUCAGUUUCAGGAUAUGGAGGGUGUUAAUUUCACAGAUGAUCAGUUAGUUGAUUUCAUUAGGGGGUUUCUUACUUCAGUGUCGCUGGGAAAUACUGAUGGGUAUCACCAGCUUGUUGGUGUUAUACACCACAGAGAUCGAUUAUCCCCUGAUGAGGUUGCCUUGCUCGUGACAUGUUUGAAGGCGCUAUCUGGAGCAGUUUCUUGUAUUGAUGUCGUUCUCCACGAAUCUCUUCUUGCUGCAAUUUUUAAAAUGAGCUUGUGGGAUUAUGGACCUAACGUGAUGGAUGCCCUGAUUGAACUAAUAACAUCCCUGGCUGUUUCGAGUGGAAAAUAUGUGGAUUCAUGCUUGGAUAUGCUUGUAACUAAUUUCAUGCCGCCCCAUUCCUACAAGGAUUUCCUGAAGAAGCCACAUGGUCUUACAAGAAAGGAUGAAGUUCUUUCUCGAGUGCACACAGCUCUAAAAGACAUCUCGGACUUGGUUCCUCUUGCACCCUUGAGAUUAGAGCUCAUAGUUGUCCAUAAAAUGCAGAGAGUAUUUUUCAAGGAAUCUUUGACCACGAUAUAUGUGGAGAACAUGCUGAGGUUGGAAAAGGGUGCAAUGAGUGAAUUUGUUGGGAGGAAAAUCUUAACUGCACUGGUGGAUAAGCUUUUAGAUUUGGAUGUGGAGAUUGGGUGGGAUGAUAUCCUACAAGACGAUUUCAGUAAAGGAAUUUUUGAGAUUGAACUUGAAGAUGAAAAUGAAUCUACAGAUGAUAUUGAUGAGGAUAAUAGUGAGCUUCCAAGAGAACUAAGUCGUAAGAGCUUAGGUGGAAAUGUAAUUGCUGAAACGUUAGAUAGCUUGAUAGUGCUUACAUUUGAACAUCUUGAAUCAUGUGAACGUGAUGGACGAUUGAAUGAGGUUUUUGACAUUUUACUUCUAUCAUUUCAAAGAACUGUUCUGACUGCUUACAAGUCUAAAUUUGCCCAGUUUGUCAUAUUCUACGCUUGUGCAUUAGAUCCAGAAGUUUGUGGUGCAAGAUUUUCCGUCACGCUAGCUGAUAUGUUCGUUUCCUGCAAUGGUCUUCCCCUUACCAGGAUGAGUGCUAUUUCAUAUCUUGCGAGUUAUUUGUCUCGCGGGAAGUUCCUGUCAACCUCUUUGGUUACCACUAUAUUGAAAAGAUUGGUGGAUUGGUGUUUAGAAUAUGGCAAAACACAUGAUGUUGACCUGAACCCAAAGGCUCAUAAAAUAUUUUAUUCUGGUUGCCAGGCCAUAAUGUAUGUGCUUUGCUUUCGGAUGAGAUCGAUUUUGGAGAUACCGCGGCUGAAGUCGCAACUUCUGCUUAUGCCUAUAGGUCGAAUCUUGACGCAUAGGUUAAGCCCACUGAAGGUUUGCCUACCGUCUAUCGUCGAGGAAUUUCUCCGGCAGGCAAAAGUUGCUAAUUUAUUUACACCAUCAGAGACUUUUAUAUUCAAUGGUUUGCUGGAGUCUGAAUAUUCAAAGACUUUCGGUGGGAUUGAAAGGCUCGACAUGUUUUUUCCCUAUGAUCCUUGCUUGCUGAAAAGAUGUGACAGAUAUCUCCGGCCAUAUUUUGUAUAUUGGUCGAUGGUUAGACCUACAUAUGAUGAAGAAGAAGAAGACGAAGGUAGCAGUGAUGAAGAUGUCGCGGAGGUUUUCCCGGAUAGAAUCGAGGAAAACCUUAUGGACGAUGAAGCAAUGGCAAGAAGCUACGAUGAUAGAGAGUUUGACCUUGAUGAAUUUGAUAAUGCAUUAGAUAAAAUGUCCAUCACACCAAGAAAUUCUCUCCCGUUCAGGCAAGAUUGUGUUCGGAUGCCCUCACGAAUCCGACCCUCAAUGAGUCCAGAAUCUUUGUGAAAGUAGCAAGCCACUCCACGACUAGUUAGCUAGUACAGAGGCCAAGUAGAAGGUAGCUCAUCCAGCCCAGCGAGCGGAUCCAUCGCUGAAAAAGAUCGAGUAUGCGAGUUGUGUGGUUCUGACAAUUGAUAUCAAAGUUAGGCUAGAUUCACCAUGAUUUGUGAAGAUGGAAAGCUCGAAGAUUGGAAUUGAGUAAUUUGAUGGACUCGAUUUCGGUUCCUAGAAGAUGCAGAUUGAAGAUUAUCUAUACUAGAAGGAUCUUCACGAACUCUUGUCUGGGAUGAAGUUAGAUACUGGGAUCACGGAGCAGUGGAAGCUCAAGGAUUGGUAGGUCCUAGAGUUGAUACAGUUGAUGUUGUUUAGAAAUGUAGCGUUCAACAUUAUCAAGGAGAAGACAACAUCGAACUUGUUGAAGGCGUUAUUGAAUAUGUAUUUGGUGUGGAGAUUAUCCAUCGUCAAACUGUUGGCUAUGAACAAGGUGUAAUUGGUGUGGAGAUUAUUCAAAAUACAAAUGUCUAAAGGUGGAUCUGUUA
Cucurbita pepo subsp. pepo (vegetable marrow) is the source of this 2703-nucleotide non-coding RNA. Lineage: Eukaryota; Viridiplantae; Streptophyta; Magnoliopsida; Cucurbitales; Cucurbitaceae. The record is from RefSeq and is a predicted model, not a curated record.